GAGAAGGCGGUCCAAGGCAGGGAGUGCUUGGGGGAGCCUCCUGCAGGAAUGCGCUCUGUGGACCUUGCUCAGUUCAGACCAACAGGUGUUCUUUGCAUUCCAGGCCUGUUUUCUUCCAGGAAUGCACAGGCUUUUCAUAGUUAAGACAGCUGCAGAGGACGAGAAAAAUCCAGAGCCCUAAACAGAAGCGUUUUCAGAAGAUGUGCGACUCGCAUGAAAAGUCCCCAGAGGAUGCACACUCCGGAGAUGGGUUAGAAAAUGUGAAAGUUCAGCUUUGUCCCUGGGUGUCGUUAAAGCACUUAAUCGGAGGCAAUGCGCAUUUGCAAACAAAAGGACUGUCACUUUGAUGCCUGAAUACAGAAAGCUGUGCUUGUCGGCCACCAAAUAGCUCCAUUUCCACACAGUUAAUCUUCAGAGCGUCUGUUCAGGUGAACUCCGGUUUGUGCUCUGUAGAGACUUGCUUUUGCUGUUUGGACAGGUGAGAGCAUCCACCGAGCAGUUCUGUUAAAAUAAUAACUUGUUUGUGUGAGGAGGGAAGCAUUCGAGCAUGUACCAGUUAUCUUUAAUGUCUAUUUUGAUGGCUUUUUAUUUAUGGAAUAUCGGUGCAUUUUUAUCUGCAACGCCUCUCAGUUGUUUUCGGAGAGGGCUUUAGAUACAAAUGAGUGAUGGGCACAGCCAUGGACAGCCCAUCUUAAAUUAAAUAUUCUCUGCUUGAUCUUGCCAUUUUAUUUUUAAAAAAGAGAAAUUAGCAUGAGUUCAUUUCAUAUCUUAUACUGUCCAAGCCAGAAAUAAUACCAUAAUCCUAGGGGUCGCCCUAUUUAAUGCCUUCAAACAGCUCUUUAAAUACAUAUGUCUUUGUCUUUGCUUUUGACUUUCUUUCAUGUUUCUUAGGCAUUUGACUUUGGAGUCUGUCUGAGUCACACUCCUGUUUUUGCAAAUUCUCCUUGAAGCUGUCCUCUUUUGGGAAGUCCUUGCAGGGCUGAUGGUCAAUCAGAAUUCCUAUAUUUAUCCUGGGCACUGAGGGAAUUCAUCAUCCUUUUUUAUUCUGGGCAAGGGGGACCAGAUGAAAGUGGGCAUCUGGUCUGUCUUUUAACAAAAAUACAAAAUAUGCUUUUUAAAACACCAUAUUGAAACCAUCCACGCAAUGUUGUGGGGACAGCUGGGGGUCCAGAUCAUUUGCCUGUCAUGGUUCUCUGUUUAUUAGGAAACAUUGUAGCUCCUGGACAGCCCUACCUCACUUGGGGAUCCGUCGGUUGAAGCCGAGUUUUGAUACAUGUUAUAUCACGAAGCCCAUGGGAAGUGCUCUGAGCAUAAAAUCUCAGGAAUGCAGUUUCUCUGAGAUCUUUUCCCUAUUUCCCAUUUCUAGUGAUGUAGUUAGAUGUACUUAGAAUUUCAGAGUCUGUUGCAAUUUGGUUGAUGGUUACACCUAAGGUGGGCUCCAGUCAAAAUUAUAACAUUGGCAAAGAGCCUCCUCGGAGGCUUUUCCCCAGGUGCUCAGAACCUGUUCAGGUGUACCUGGGACCCCACCGCCCUCCCCGUUGGGCCAGACAUUGUCCCAGGCCAGGACCCCGUAGUUCCCAUCCACUUCUAAUCUCUCAGUAGAGAUCUUGUCUGUUCGUUCAUUCAUCCAUUCAUUUAACACACGUUGAGAGGCUGCUGAGAACCAGGUCUUCCAAUCAGACCUGGGGAUACAGAGGGAGCAUGCAGUGGCUGCCUUCAGGACCUUUACAAUGUGUGUGCAAGUUACAGAAGCAAUUAAAUAAUGAUGCCGUGUCAGAUCAGGUGAGAGAGGUAGCAGGAGGGGGAGGGAACCAACUAAUGGGAAAGCUUCGCCAGGAGGUGAGGCAUCUGCUUGCAAGAAUCCAGAAGGAAACCAGUGUGGCUGGGAAAGAGGAUGGACUCCGCCGCUCUUGGCACCUUCUGAAGGUAUCUCAGCAGUUGCACUUGACUCUUUCUGUUUUGUUUUUCAGGGUACUAUUUUAAGGAAUAUUUAAUUUAUUGAUUUCCAAGAGGCAUAAGGUAAGUUGGACUUCUUAUGGAUAUAUUCAAUGUUCAGAAAGGUUGAUUUUUGUUAUCAGCAACCACAGUUUCAACAUUUCAUCUGACCUUUUUCAGUAGGUAACAAUUUCCUUUGACUUUAUGUUGAUGUAAUUUCUUAACUUGCCAAAGUUUUGGAAUGUUUAGCAUUUUUUUUUUCAAUUUCUCAAUUAGCACAUCAAGUUUCCUUUUUUCCAGGACUUGAUAGCUAACUUCCCUUAAAUGUGGUAUUUGUUGCUGCUGUUACUGCUCCUUUCUAGGUCAUUCCUUACAUUGCUCAUCGUCAGCAUUUCCUAAGUUGGUCAUUUCAAUGAUUUUCGGCGAAUUGGCCCUAUCUCACAUCUCUCUUUCUAAACUUACUUUCAUUACGUUUUUAUUUUAAAUUGUUCUGUUUACAUAUGUUUAGUUCUUGUGAAACUUCCAUUAUACUUUGAAGUUUGCAUGAAUAUAAAUUCCAAGUAAAUACAUUAAUUUCUCCUCUUCCCUCAUCGAUCUCCAGCAUCCUUCACUAAUUAAAUAUUUAUUGAAGGCCCGUUCUGUGCCUUGCAUAAUGAUAGGCUUUGGGAAUAGAAAGAAGGAAUAGAAUCUUUGUCCUCUACAUGUAUGGACACUAAAUAAUGGAGUUUAUUUGCGGUCUCUUAUUCUGUUAGGCAAUAUUUUACUUCAGUGAAUUUAGUUUCUUACUCUAUAGAAAUGCACGAUGCACUUAUCAUGUCUUAUGAUCAGCCCAGCUGUGGGAAGUGAUAUUAGCUUUUUAGUUUCUCAGAAAGACAUACAAGGCUUCGCCAAGCCUUUGGCAUAACCUCCUUUUCUUUUUUUUUCUUUCUAUGAACUAACUUUUAAGUCUGGUGUCGAUAGCACUUGACUGUGUUAUUCUGAUUUUUGAAAACCUAAAACUUACCUUCUUAAAAUUUAGUAGCUUAUUCUCUACUUCUUUCUUCUUCUUCUAAAAAAAAAUACAGAAAGGAAAAAGAAAAAGAAAGCGUCCUCAUGACAUCAUUAGCUCUAAGUUUCUCUGGGCCCUUCAAGUGUUUGGGUCAAGUGGCUUCUAUAUAGGGUCUAUACAGGUUCCUUGCUGAAUGUCUAAGUGAAUUUCCAAUGAUACAAAUAUACUAAUGUCUCCUCCUCCCCAGUUAAUAUGGUACUCAAUAAAGCCAACCCUGUUGCUACUACUUGGUGGGCAUUUUCCAAGAUGGUUCCUGGGACUUUGGUGUUUGGCAAACCGUGGCAUGGUCACUAAGAACUUGCCAAUUUUAACAGCCUACGAUUGUUUUACAGUGAUCAGAUCUAUGCACACUUACCUCCAAAGUCCGAGGAAGCUGAGAGGCUGAAGAAAGUGGCCAACACAUCCAUUUUCUCAGAAAGAAACAUUUAAUGGGGACUUAGGAACAGAAGCCAGAGUCUCAGGCAGUCGCCAAACAGGAUGAUGGAUCCCCACACCAUCACUUCCAGACCCAGGACUUAUACACCAGUGCAGCCGACUCCUCAGGGAAAGGCAAGAGUGCUGUUCGAAUCUGCCUAAUGGCAAGAAUUAUGGUCAAGGUUCUGUUUUCUGUUUUUUUGAGGUGGAGUCUUGCUCUUGUCACCCAGGCUAGAGUGCAGUGGUGUAAUCUUAGCUCACUACAAUCUCCGCCUCCUUGGUUCAAGUGAUUCUCCUGCCUCAGCCUCCCGAGUACCUGGGAUUACAGGUACCUGCCACCAUGCCUGGCUAUUUUUUGUAUUUUUAGUAGAGACAGGGUUUUACCAUGUUGGUCAGGCUGGUCUUGAACUCCUGACCUUAGGUGAUCUGCCUGCCUGGGCCUCCCAAGGUGCUGGGAUCAUAGGUGUGAGGCACCGUAUUUGGCCAGUCAAGGUUCUUUUUUUGACCUAAGGGUAGGAUUUAUGGUAACAAUAGAUAAAGUAGAAAUCUUAGAGUUGUUCCUAGAACAGGGAUUCAUCAGAAGUCACCACAGUGGAUCAGAUACAAGGUGGGGCUUUAGGCUCCACAGUGAUCUUCGUGGAUUCAAGCUUGGUGCUGCACAAACUGACCUAUGAGACAGCCAAUAAAACAUUACAGAUGUGGAAUGUGUUUUAUUUCCUGUGCCAGUCAAGGUUCAGGGCAGAACGCAGAAUCUACUUGAUGUAUCUUAAGCAGAAUGACUGUAUAUUAAUGAAUUGGGUGCUCACACAAUUGUUGUUGGGGCUGGAUAACCAGGUUCCAGUCUAGAACUCUGAAAAUAAUGCCCAGGUGCCAGAGAGUCUGGUGCUGACCCCUGGGCCUGUAAGAUUCAGGACCACACUCUUUUUUUUUUAAUUUAAAUUUUUAUUUUUUAUUUUACUUUAAGUUCUGGGGUACGUGUGUAGAACUUGCAGGAUUGUUACAUAGGUAUACACAUGCCCUGGUGGUUUGCUAUCUCCAUCCCCCCGUCACCUACAUUAGGUAUUUCUCCUGUUAUCCCUCCCUAAUCUCCUCAUCCCCUGCUAUUCCUCCCCCAGCUUCCCACCCCCUACAGACCCUGGUGUGUGAUUUUUCUCCUCCCUGUGACCAUGUGUUCUUAUUGUUCAACUCCAAAUUCUGAGUGAGAACAUCCAGUGUUUGGUUUUCUGUUCUUGUGUCAGUUUGCUGAGAAUGAUGGUUUCCAGCUUCAUCCAUGUCCCUGCAAAGGACAUGAACUCAUCCUUUUUUAUGGCUGCAUACUAUUCCAUCAUGUAUAUGUGCCACAUUUUCUUUAUCCAGUCUAUCGUUGAUGGGCAUUUGGGUUGAUUCCAAGUCUUCACUACUGUAAACAGUGCUGCAAUGAACAUACAUGUGCAUAUAUCUUUAUAAUAGAAAUGAUUUAUAAUCCUUUGGGUAUAUACCCAGUAAUAGGAUCGCUGGGUCAAAUGAUAUUUCUAGUUGUAGAUCCUAGAGGAACUGCCACACUGGCUUCCACAAUGGUUGAACUAAUUUACAUUCCUACCAACAGUGUAAAAGCGUUUCUAUUUCUCCAUGUCCUCUCCAGCAUCUGUUGUCUCCAGAUUUUUUAAUGAUCGCCAUUCUAACUGGCAUGAGAUGGUAUCUCAAUGUGGUUUUGAUUUGCAUUUCUCUAAUGACCAGUGAUGAGCAUUUUUUCAUGUUUGUCGGCCACAUAAAUGUCUUCUUUUUAGAAGUAUCUGUUCAUAUCCUUUGCCUACUAUUUGAUGGGGUUGUUUUUUUCUUGUAUAUUUGUUUUAGUUUUUUGUAGAUUCUGGAUAUUAUCCCUUUGUCGGAUGGGUAGAUUGCAAAAAUUUUUUCCCAUUCUGUUGGUCGCUGGUUCACUGUAAUGAUUGUUUCUUUUGCUGUGCAGAAGCUCUUAAGUUUAAUUAGAUCCAAUUUGUCUAUUUUGGCUUUUGUUGCCAUUGCUUUUGGUGUUUUAGUCAUGAAGUCCUUGCCCAUGCCUAUGUCUGGGCCACACUCUUAAGGCUGAGAGCCACUGAUACAUUGGAAAGCCCUAUUGCUAGGGUGGCAGUGGCCUCUCUAUACCCACAAAGCUGGAGAUGGACUUUCAGAGGCAGAAUGAGGUCCCUGUCUCACCUGUAACUGCCUCUUAAUACCGAGGAAGCUGGAGAUGGGGCACUAAAGCACAGCAAUAGGUAGAAACCUCAUAUUCCUAAGACCUUGUUAUCAGCUGAUAAGAAGCCAGAGGGCACCAGUCUCUCCUUUACCUGGCUUCCCCCUUUAAAAUCUCAGUGACUUUUAACAUCCUCAGGUCUUUUGCUGAAAAGAAGUCUAGGAAAUGUAGAUUUUAGCCUCUCGGGUUCUAUAGUGCAGGAAAGCACCCUAGAAAGGGUUGAGAAUGAAUGCUGAGUGCAAACUAAUUACAUGCAAUACAAUUGUAUACGCACAAAGUAGUGUAAUGUGCUGCUGAAUACCACAUGAUGAGCAGCUAGGCAAAAUAUCUUGUAUAAGGAGAGGGCCUCCUGGAGUUUGUUUUAUUGGAAUCUUCUGCCAUUAGGGCAACCAACCCUCCCUGCUUAUGUCAUACUUGAAAUAAGAACUUUCAGGAAAAUUUCAGUAAGGCUAGUCCUGUGUAGAGAAGAGAGAGAAAGUAAGGUGUGCAUGAAGUCCCAGGAGAUUUAAGAGAGCUGAAGUUUACCCUAAUUCUCCCCAUGUCAAAAUGAGUGGAAUCUAUACUCGUGAUACAAGCAGCAGGAAUGAAUCUGGACUGAAUUUCUUACUUGCAUAUAAUUCAUGUGGCAUUAUGUGAGUUGGGAAGCACUAGUAAACCAGAUACUUGAGAACAUUGUGAUGUUAGAUGUCAUGUAUCAUUAAUGAAGUCAGCACACAUUCCUUAGGCCACACCACCUAUGUGAAGGCCUUUGGAGCAAGACCGCCAUUAGGUGACAUUGUCCUCAGUUCACUGGGAAGGAGUGUAUUAGUCUGUUCUUAUGCUGCAAUGAAGAAAUACCCAAGACUGGGUAAUCGAUAAAGAAAAAGGUUUAAUUGACUCACAGUUAUGCAUGGCUGAAGAGGCCUCAGCAAACUUAGAAUCAUGGCGGCAGGCACCUCUUCACAGGGCAGCAGGAGAGAGAAUAGGUGCAUGAAGGGGAAAUGUCAGAUGCUUAUAAAACCAUCAGAUCUUGUGAGACUCACUAUCAUGAGAACAGCAUGGGGGAAACUGCCCCCAUGACCACAUUGCCUCCACCUGGUUCCACCCUUGACAUAUGGGGAUUAUAAUUCAAGGUGAAAUUUGGGUGGGGACACAGAUUCAAACCAUAUCAUUCUGCACCUGGCCCCUCUCAAAUCUCAUGUCCUUACAUUUCAAAACACAAUCAUGCCUUUCCAACAGUCCUCAAAGUGUUAGUCUUAACUCAUUCCAGCAUGAACCCAGAAGUCCAAGUCCAAAGUCUCACCUGAGACAAGGUAAGUCUAUUCUGCCUAGGAGCCUGUGAAAUCAAAAGCAAAAGCAAGUUAGUUACUUCCCAGAUACAAUGGGGGUACAGGUAUUGGGUAAAAGCAGCCAUUCCAAAUGGGAGAAAUUGGCCCAAACAAAGGCCCCAGGCAAGUCUGUAAUCUAAUAGCGCAGUCAUUAAAUCACAAAGUUCCAAAAUGAUCUCCUUUGACUCCCUGUCUCACAUCCAGGUCAUGCUGAUGCAAGAGGUAGGCUUCCACAGCCUUGGGCAACUUCACCCCUGUGACUUUGCAGGGUACAGCUCCCCUCCCUCCCAGCUGCUUUCAUUGAGUGUCUGCUGCUUUUCUAGGUACACAGUGCAAACUGUCAAUGAAUCUACCAUUCUGGGGUCUGGAAGAUGGUGGUCCUCUUCUCAUAGCUCCACUAGGCAGUGCCCCAGUGGGUACUUUGUGUGGGGGCUCCAACUCCAUAUUUCCCUUCAGCAUUGCCCUAGCAGAAGUUCUCCAUGAGGGAGAAAACUUCUGCCUGGACAUCCAUGCAUUUCCCUAUAUCAUCUGAAAUCUAGGUGGAGGUUCCCAAACCUAAAUUUUUGACUUCUGUGCACCCACAGGCUCAACAUCACGUGGAAGUCACCAAGGCUUGGGACUUGCACUCUCUGAAGCAAUGGCCUGAGCUGUACCUUGGCUCCUUUUAGCCACAGCUGGAGCUGAAACAGCUGGGAUGCAGGGCACCAUGUCCUGAAGCUGUGUAGAUCAGGGGGGUCCUAGGCCCUGCCCUCAAAACAAUUUUUUUCUUCCUAGGCCUCCAGGCCUGUGAUGGUAGGGCUGCCUUGGAGGUCUCUGACAUUCCCUGGAGACAUUUCCCUCAUUGUGUUGGUGAUGAACAUUCAGCUCUUCAUUACAUAUACACAUUUCUGUAGUGGGCUUGAAUUUCUCCCUAGAGAAUGGGUUUUUCUUUUCCAAUGCCUUGCCAAGCUGCACAUUUUCCAAACUUUAAAGCUCUGCUUCUUCUUGAACACUUUGCCACUUAGAAAUUUCUUCUGCCAGAUAUGCUAAAUCAUCUCUGUCAAGUUCAAAGUUCCACAGAUCUCUAGGACAAGGGCAAAAUGCCACCAGUCUCUUUGCUAAAACAUAGCAAGAGUGAAAGUAUAACCCCAGUUACCAACAAGUUUCUCAUCUCCAUCUGAGACCACCUCAGCCUGAACUUCAUUGUCUGGUUCACUAUCAGCAUUUUGGUCAAAGUCAUUCAAGUCUCUAGGAAGUUCCAAACUUUCCUACAUUUUCCUGUUUUCUUCUGAGCCCUCCAAAAUGUUCCAACCUUUGUGUGUUACCCAGUUCCAAAGUCAUUUCCACAUUUAUGUGUAUUUUUACAGCAGCACCCCGCUCUUGGUACCAAUUUACUGUAGUCCGUUCUCAUGCUGCUACGAAUACCCAAGAAAAGAGGUUUAAUUGACUCACAGUUCCAUAUAGCUGGGGAGGCCUUAGAAAACUUACAAUCAUGGUGAAAGGAGCCUCUUCACAGGGUGGCAGGUGAGAGAAUGAAUGCAAGCAGGGGAAAUGCCAGAUGCUUAUAAAACCAUCAGAUCUCAUGAGACUUACUACCUAUCAUGAGAACAGCAUGGAGGAAACCACCCCCAUGAUCCUAUUACUUCCACCUGGUCUUGCCCUUGACAUGUGGGGAUUAUGGGGAUCACAAGUCAAGGUGAGAUUUGGGUGGAGACACGGAGUCAAACCAUAUAAAGGAGGCACCAACUGUGCCACAGACAGCCAGGAUUUGAAGCCACCCAAAGCCUCAUUAGGAGCAAGUGUUCACUGCAGGCUGGGACACCAGGGUGAGCCUUGUUGAUUCAGAAGACUAGACAAGUGAAACAUUUUGUUCCUGCCAUUUUGGCAUUGGAUAGAGACUGGCUGCAAUUUAUCAUUCACCAGAACAAUUUUUGGACAGAGCUUUGUAAGAGAACUCUUGCUUUGGUUUCGACAAGGCCUUGUGGCCUUAAGAAACCAAGAGAUUUUGUGGUUUGGUCUUAUUUUCAUAGAAAGACAAACAAAACAAAACAAAACAAAAACCUCUGGAAUACAAACCAAUUCUGUAUUUUAGAUUUGUCAUAUAGCUUCUGACAACCACAAAGUGCUUGAGCUUUCAAACUUAGGUUAACUAAAUGAGUAAGGAUUUCUUCUAAUUCAAAGAAACCUGUGAACAUGGCAGGGAUUCCAUCAGUGCUGCUUGCCUACUGUUGGCCACAUGCUUCUUUUUAGUUACAAGGAUUGAGACCAUGAGUCACCUAUAAUUUUAUGGUCCUUGAAAGCUUUCCUGAGAAGUCAUCUUCAGAAAUCUCCUUUCAAAUUCGAUAUCAGACUUUUACUGCAUUCAUAUUUUAUGUUAAAAGUGCCUUGUACAUUGCUGUGCCAACUGGGAUGGAGUCUUUAUCCAAAUGGGCUUAAAUAUCUGAUGAAAAUUGUAUUUUCAUGGGAAACAAAGAAAAAAAUGAGGGCCUGAUACUUCCUCAUAGCUUUGUUUCUGCCAUUGGAUCCAACAUUUGGGCGUGAAUUUUUAUUUUUUAACUCCCCAUACUAUCAUUCCCAAUGGGCAUGACUUAUUUUUUUUGAGGUUUUCUUCUUUUUUAGACUUUAGUUACUAUUUUCUCACAUGACUCUUUCCUCCCCACCUAAUAUAAUUAUAAUAUUUGUUGGAACCCAAAGAUGUUGAAACAUUACAGAGGAUGUAAACCCACUUUGCUGGUCUACAGCUUUGCAGUGUUUCUUCCUGCUACUCAAAAGCCUGUCGAGCUCCUGGAGUCAGCCUCCUGUCUUGGUUGUCAGCCUCUGUGGCUGUGAACCUACAGUGACCUUUGAGAAGUGCUUUGGUGGUCACUCAGGCACUUCCUGCUCAGGUUCAGAGUGACCCAAAACCAGGAUAUUCCAAUCCACACAGGUGCAGUCAUGCAAAUUCUGAGUGGAAUCCUUAGGGAGUUGACCCAGUGGCUGUGGUCAGAAUCUGUACAAGACUUUUUGCGAAGACAUAUUUCUUGGCUUCAGUACACUCCAUUCAGCCAGGGGAGAGGGGAAUCAUGAGCACUGCAGUGACAACAGCAUGAAGAAUGUAGAUUUCAAUCUGCAGCUUGCAGUUCACUUCAGAUUUAUGCACUGUGGGAUGUAGGGACCCACCCUACUCUGGCUGUGUACUCAUUUACUUCUGGCUAAAUGCCAGCUGUGACAGGAGAUGGUAGCAUUUUCUCAGAUGGGCCACUUCUCAUCCAGUGGGGCAGUGGGGCCGGUGGAGCCUGGUGCUGGUAUGUAUUAUUUUUAAGUUCCUUGGAUGAUUCUGGGCAGCUGGGUUUGGAACCUCUGACCUACAGGAUUUAAAAAUUUGAACAUUCCAAGUAAACUCUGGUAUUCCCUACCCCUCAGACUGGGCCAGUGAUGAGCUGGUCCUUUGGAGGACUCACAGGCCCGAAGCUCCUUCCAGUGCUUAGUGGUCUUUCUGAGGCCUGCCGGAGGCAUCCAGCCAGCAUAAUGCAAAUGCUGAGCUCUGAGAAGUGACAUCGCAUGUGGUGUUGGCAGGUGAAAGCAUGCCCAGUGGAGAUGAACCACUGUUACUGAUGUUACUGAUGCCUACAGACCACUUCCCUCCACCCCCAGGGGUGGUGCUGGGCACUGGGUGGAUUUGGCCUCACAGAGAUCCCAAAAUGAAUGAACAACAGAGAGAGGAAAGAAAGACUUGUGUGCAUUGUAAUUUCCUUCUUGGAGGCAAAAUUCUGCACCUUUAAUGAUUUGGGUGCACACACGGAGUAUACCUAUGUGUAACAGCAGACACGGAAGGACAUUCUAACCUAACUUGGCUCGGCCCGGAGGAUCCCAGAAGAGAACAAGAGUGUAGGGAUCUCUAGCUGCCCACUCUCCUCUGCUAGUGAGCAUCGCAGCCAGCAGUCACUCCUUCGAUGACAAGGAAGGUGACUACUGACGGGGACAGUCACCGUCUUAGACUUGGAAGUCGAUACUGCCAGUGGAAAAGGAAUCCCAGGCCUGCUGAGCCACGGCAUGCACUCUGCUAUUCCAGAACAUGGUUUUGAACUGAAAGCAGUUUUGUGGGUUGCAAUCAAUGAGUAGGACAGAAUCUUCCUAUUACUCAGAGGAAUAUGAUCACAUAAGUGGUCCCAAGUCAGCAGAUGGAGGGGCAGAUGGGUACUCAGAGGACAGGAAGGUCAAGUCCUUUGGAGUCUUUUCUAUAUUAUAAAAGACAACAACCUUUCCCUGACCACAUCAUACAUGUUCACAGGAGAAAACAGAAGACUUUUUUGAACAAAAUGUUUAAAAAGUGUGCUACCUUAAGAUAAAAAGGUCAGCUCUAGGGAGAAUAAUACACUACAGUUGCUCUGAUGUUAUUCAGUAAAUGGAUUACUGUGAAAAUAUCAUUGCCCUGUCAGAAUAGAUGUUUAAAAUAUAUGCAGUUGAUUUUAACCCUCUCUCAUGGAUUCUUCCCCUUUCCCUGCUGCCGCCACCCUCCCCCUGUGAGGGUGCAUGCCCAUCCCGAGCCUGGAACAACAGCCUUGGUCUCCACCAUCCCCAUCUGACCAUUUGUGGUGCAUCCUCCUGGCCGGCCCUCACUACACUUGCUAGGGGACACCUUCACCUUCUCCCUCUGUCAAAAUCAGGUUCACAUAUCUCAGUAGUUUCCACCUGCAGCACGUUGCUCAUACCUCUGCCAUAAGACAGGAUUGCAUCGCAUGGUAAUUUAUUUCAUUGCUUACUGCACUGGGGAAUCUAACAACCAGACAUUUGUCUCAUGGGUCUUUGUAUUCCUAGGGCCCUGCAAAGCCUCUAAAGCAUGCAGGCACUUUGCAAAAGCUUCCUGCUGAAUGAAAGGAGGAGCUCCUGCGAGUCACACUGCACACAGGCAGCAGGGAGCAGCAUCACCUUCCUCCCUGGAUAUGUGGAGGGUUUCAUGGGUGGGAGGAUGGUACCUGGAAGGGAGCAUGUUGGAUGGCGUCCCCAGUGAGAACACAUGGCCCCACCGUCACUCAGCUCCCAGUAAAUAGUAAGUGCUCACAAAUGUUGUUUGAGCACGAAAACCUUAAAAUAUGCAUUGUGGGCACUACUGACUAUUUUUGGAGGAGGAGACCAGGUCCUAAAGUGAGAUGAGUCUUACCAGGUGUCACCCAGCGGUUCUGGGACCAUGUGAGGCUCCUGUUCUGGUUCCCAGCCAUAAGCUCAGCUUUUACUUCCCCUGGGAGGUUCUGUGGUUGAGGACAGAUUGUGGAAGACCUGAAGGCAGUUGGUACAUAGCCACAGACUUCUCUGUUAUGGGAUUUACUUCUCAAAGAAUGUAAAUCUGGAUGCCUACUGCAAUUGAGCCGAGUGUUCCAUUCCCAUGGGUGUGAGCUGGAGGGGAGCUGCUGCCUGGGCACACUGUCUUCCAAGUCACCUGUAUCACAAACAGCACACAAAAUUCCCAAGGACCUCAAGUCCUGCGAAGCAGUGAGCGCAUCUGCAUGAGGGCUUCCAUCUGUCACUGUCAACUCCAGAAUUCACAUCGAUUUUGCUGUUUCUAACAUAAACUGUGACUAUUGCUGUGGUUUGAGGGUUUGUAACAAGCAAUAAAAUACAAGUGGACGUUCAAUUUACUUAAAGCUUAUACAUGUCAGCACCUAACCAAAUAAAAAAGAGGAGGAAAAAUAAACUGACAAUGAUUAAUAUCACUAAUGAUUUGUUUUGCUUAUUUUCUAAAGUAGAAACUUGAUCCUCUCUGUUUAAAAUAGACAGAGACAUGAUACCAGGAAGCACGAAAGCAGUUUAGCUUCUGUGUUUACU
Molecule: non-coding RNA, 12694 nt
Organism: Callithrix jacchus (white-tufted-ear marmoset)
Lineage: Eukaryota; Metazoa; Chordata; Mammalia; Primates; Cebidae
Source: RefSeq, a predicted model, not a curated record